Molecule: long non-coding RNA, 2079 nt
Filed under: Homo sapiens (human)
Lineage: Eukaryota; Metazoa; Chordata; Mammalia; Primates; Hominidae
Description: HSALNT0099871
Source: RNAcentral
ACAUCCUUAUCACUCAGGAAAUUCCAGGAAUUUUUGAAGCUCUGUGCCAGGAACCAAGGACUAAGACCAAAUAUAUUUUUAUUUUUAUUUAUUAUUUAUUUAUUUAUUUAUUUUUUGAGAUGGAGUUUCGCUCUUGUUGCCCAGGCUGGAGUGCAAUGGUGAGAUCUCUGCUCACUGCAACCUCCACCUCCCAGGUUCAAGGGAUUCUUGUGCCUCAGCCUCCUGAGUAGCUGAGAUUACAGGCACCCACCACCACGUCCGGCUAAGUUGUUGUUUUUUGUUUUUGUUCUUGUUUUUUUGAGAGAUGGAGUCUUGAUCUGUCACCCAGGCUGGAGUGGAGUGGCGGUAUCUCGGCUCACUGCAACCUCCACCUCCCGGGUUUGAGCGAUUCUCCUGCCUCAGCUUCCCAAGUAGCUGGGACCACAGACGUUUGCCACCACUCCCAGUUAAUUUUUGUAUUUUUUUAGUAGAGUUGGGGUUUCACUAUAUGUUGGCCAGCCUGGUCUCAAACUCCUGACCUCAGGUGAUCUGCCCACCUCGGCCUCCCAAAGUGUUGGGAUUAUAGGCGUGAGCCACCGUGCCUGGCCAAUUUUUUGUAUUUUUUUGUAGAGACGGGGUUUCACCAUGUUGGCCAGGCUGGUCUUGAAUUCCUGGCCUCAGGUUAUCCGCCUGCCUGAGCCUCCCAAAGUGCUGGAUUACAGGCAUGACCCACCAAACCCAGCCCAAAUAUAUUUGCAUAUAUAUAUAUUUUAAUAUCCCACGCCUACACUCUGGGAUAACUCAGCUCUUACAGGCAGUAAUCAUGGGUCAGACCUGCCAUUAUCCAGUUCAGCCCAUUUCAUUUGACAGACACCUGGUGAAUAGAGACAUGCAGGGACUCUUGUCCACAUUUGCCCAGUUGGCUGAUAGCACAGUGUACAAAGUCUGUCUGCAGCAGGUCAUAAUUUCACAGCUCUGCCACAUGCAUGUAUAUCACUGUACCAAGCGUGUUCACAUGGUAUGGUGCUGACACAUGUUGACGGAAUGUGGUACAGACCCUCUGUGUGAAGUGUGUUCACACAGUGCGGUGCUGACCCUCUGUAUGAAGCGUGUUCACACGGUGCGGUGCUGACUCUCUGUAUGAAGCGUGUUCACCUGGUGCAGGACAGACUCUCUGCAUGAAGCAUGUUCACACAGUGCGGUGCUGACCCUCUGUAUGAAGCAUGUUCACGUAGUGCAGUGCUGACUCUGUAUGAAGUGUGUUCACACAAUGAGGUGCUGACCUCAUGUAUGAAGCAUGUUCACACAAUGCGGUGCUGACCCUCUGUAUGAAGCGUGUUCACACGGUGCGGUGCUGACUCUCUGUAUGACACAUGUUCACACAAUGCGGUGCUGACCUUCUGUAUGAAGCGUGUUCACACAGUGCAGUGCUGACCUUCUGUAUGACACAUGUUCACAGAGUGAGGUGCUGAUCUUCUGUAUGAAGCAUGUUCACAUGGUGCAGUACUGACUCUCUGUUUGAAGUGUGUUCACAUGGUGCAGUGCUGUCUCUGUAUGAAGUGUGUUCACACGGUGCGGUGCUGACUCUCUGUAUGAAGCGUGUUCACACAGUGCGGUGCUGACUCUCUGUAUGAAGCAUGUUCACACGGUGCGGUGCUGACUCUCUGUAUGAAGUGUGUUCACCUGGUGCAGUACAGGCUCUCUGCAUGAAGCAUGUUCACACAGUGCGGUGCUGACCCUCUGUAUGAAGCGUGUUCACACAGUGCAUGUGAAACCAGAACCGACAGUCGAACCCAAGCAGAAGUCUUGACCAAGCACUUCCCUCCUGGGAAUGCACCAUGAUAUCACCACACCGAAGUCCAGGCUGGCAAAUAGGGACAUUUAAGUGACAUUUAAGCUCGUGGUGGCCCUAUGAGGAGUCAUUGCUGACUGAGAUGGGAUUUUAAGGUGUUGCCUGCCUGUGUGUUCUCAGACCCUCUCCUGAAGCCCCACCCCUUCCCCUGAUCCUCUCCUGGGACCCCCCUCCCCUAUCCCUGACCCUCUCCUGGAUCCCCUCCCCUUUCCCUGACCCUCUCCUGGAGCCCCCUCCCCUCUCCCUGU